CUGGCUCCUCGGUUUCUCUGGGUGUAGUCCCAACCCUGGCCCGCAGUCCGUACAAUCGAUAACAACAAAGCUACAGCAAAACAGACUUACACAACACUAUGCAAAACGAACCACAAAUCGAUAACACUAAACAAUAGGAGCAUCUUACAGAUAAACAACAUAAACAGCUGUGACGAUAAGUAAAUGUAAACAACAACGAUCGGGUCCCGGUUCCGGACCCAGCGUACCCGCCCUAACAUGAGACGAUCACCUACUUGUCUCCCACAUUUUGGCCAUUAUAUGGCCUGCAUCAGCCUGUGCCGGCUAUUACGGUACGGAUACAGAUCGGGCAUUUUAAACAGGUGCAUACGAUAAGUUGAAUAUAUAUAUAACAUUUCUCGCAACUUCCCUUCAACAGGUGCAUUUAACGUGUUGCAUCAUUUCAUAUUCGUGACAAUUUAUAUUAAUCUUUAAAAUCUUAAAUUUAGUACAGAACGCAUUGUUUUACAACGUUUGUACGGAACAGGAGGUAAAAACACGGUCAAAACUUAUUGCCAGUCAACAAAUGAAAGAAAAACAAGGGGAGACAUAUCAAUACAGAGACCCUCAAAUAUGGGUCUGCUUCGGCCUCUCCCUUUUAUUCGGGCGAGGGAAGAACGACGUGGAACGGACUCACUCAGUGAUGAAGUAGGCGGGGUCUCGUCUAUGGCCGCCUCUCGUCGUUAGAGUCCCGUCCGUAAUGGCUCGUCUCGCCGUCGAUGUCUGGCCGUGUUUGGAAAAUCUGGCCCGCAAAUAUCUGGGUUGAUCUGGCCAACGUCCUCCGGCGCUGGAUUUAGACGUUGUCUGCCACCAAAUGGCUGCGGUUGCUCUAAUGGAGUACCCCUUUUCUUGUUGUUUUAAGCGCCGCACGACGGUGUAUUAUUGUUCUUGUGUACCAUUGCUUUUUGUAAUUGGUUAGCAGUUAAGGA
Molecule: RNA transcript, 947 nt
Organism: Drosophila virilis
Lineage: Eukaryota; Metazoa; Arthropoda; Insecta; Diptera; Drosophilidae
Source: RefSeq, a predicted model, not a curated record